This 254-nucleotide ribosomal RNA is filed under the name uncultured bacterium. RNAcentral's name for it is "partial 16S ribosomal RNA". It matches the Rfam family "Bacterial small subunit ribosomal RNA", at positions 524 to 776 of the family's 1533-position model. The record is from RNAcentral.
UACGUAGGGCGCAAGCGUUGUCCGGAAUUAUUGGGCGUAAAGAGCUCGUAGGUGGUUUGUCGCGUUGUCCGUGAAAACUCACAACUCAAUUGUGGGCGUGCGGGCGAUACGGGCAGACUGGAGUACUGCAGGGGAGGAUUGGAAUUCCUGGUGUAGCGGUGGAAUGCGCAGAUAUCAGGAGGAACACCGAUGGCGAAGGCAGAUCUCUGGGCCGUAACUGACGCUGAGGAGCGAAAGCGUGGGGAGCGAACAGG